Molecule: ribosomal RNA, 443 nt
Filed under: uncultured bacterium
Lineage: Bacteria
Description: partial 16S ribosomal RNA
Rfam family: Bacterial small subunit ribosomal RNA
Source: RNAcentral
CCUACGGGUGGCAGCAGUGGGGAAUAUUGGACAAUGGGGGGAACCCUGAUGCAGCGACGCCGCGUGCGUGAAGAAGUAUUUCGGUAUGUAAAGCUCUAUCAGCAGGGAAGAAAGCAAUGACGGUACCUGACUAAGAAGCCCCGGCUAACUACGUACCAGCAGCCGCGGUACUACGUAGGGGGCAAGCGUUAACCGGAUUGACUGGGUGUAAAGGGAGCGUAGACGGCGAUGCAAGUCUGAAGUGAAAGGCGGGGGCCCAACACCUGGACUGCUUUGGAAACUGGAGGGCUGGAGUGCAGGAGAGGUAAGUGGAAUUCCUAGUGUAGCGGUGAAAUGCGUAGAUAUUAGGAGGAACACCAGUGGCGAAGGCGGCUUACUGGACUGUAACUGACGUUGAGGCGCGAAAGCGUGGGGAGCAAACAGGAUUAGAUACCCGAGUAGUC